This is a non-coding RNA of Phrynosoma platyrhinos (Desert horned lizard), 72 nucleotides long. NCBI's taxonomy places the organism in Eukaryota, Metazoa, Chordata, Lepidosauria, Squamata, Phrynosomatidae. The record is from the annotation of a GenBank genome assembly.
ACCAGUGUGGCGCAGUGGUUUUAGCGUUGGACUUGGACUCUGGAGACCGGGGUUCGAAUCCUCACUCAGCCA